This 379-nucleotide unclassified non-coding RNA is filed under the name soil metagenome. RNAcentral describes it as "partial contains 5.8S ribosomal RNA, internal transcribed spacer 2, and large subunit ribosomal RNA". The stretch from base 1 to 120 matches the Rfam family "5.8S ribosomal RNA", at positions 35 to 154 of the family's 154-position model. The record is from RNAcentral.
GAUGAAGAACGUAGUGAAAUGCGAUACGUAAUGUGAAUUGCAGAAUUCAGUGAAUCAUCGAAUCUUUGAACGCACAUUGCACUCCUUGGUAUUCCGAGGAGUAUGCCUGUUUCAGUAUCAUGAGCACUCUCACAUCUAACCUUUGGGUUAAAAUGUGGAAUUGGGAUGCGCCGGUUAUUAUAACGGCCCUCCUAAAAUUCAGUUCUUGGCUGCUUCCUACUACAGCAGUUUGGCCUAAUAGUUUUGAGUCUUCGAUUCAAAUCUUUGGCUAACAUUUGCUUAAGGAUGUCAGUCUUGAUAUACAGAAAUCUCAUUCAAACUUUGAUCUGAAAUCAGGUAGGGCUACCCGCUGAACUUAAGCAUAUCAAUAAGCGGAGGA